CGGCACUCGAGGCUGCGCAUGCGCAACUCCGCGCGGCGCAUAAUAGCUGGGGGGCUCAGGGCUUGCGUACUGUGAGGGGGUUAUCGCGCGUGCGCGAGAGGAGCCGAGGGUCAGGAGGUUUUCCCGCCCGUCCAGGGUGCGGCUGUGGGCAGCUCUGCAGGGCGGCGUUUCGGCUCCGCCCGCGGCCCUGAGGAGAUAGUUAUCAGAACCUUCAAAGGAAAGGGGAAUAAUGAAAGAAUGCCUGCUGCAUUGCAUAAGCUGGGGGUUUGGCAGUCCUUCAGAUGUUUACUCUUCAGUUAAUGCUACCUUACAGUGACCAUCCUAUUGACCUUCAUCUGGCUCAAGCAGCUGGAGAAUGAAACUAUAACAACUGCAGAAAGGGUUGGAGCAAGAAAAUGUGAGCUAUUUCUCCCCCACUUUUCUGCCAGGGACAGAGCAGCGUGCUCAGAGCAGCCCUGUGCUCGUGAAAGGAAAGGAGGUGGCUGUGGGCUGCCGGCAGCUGCUGCUGCACAGGGAACAUGAGCAGUGUGUGAUGGGUGACCUGCCUUACCUGUCCUUCUCUUGGAACCUUGGGUUUGGCCUACGGGAACCUGGGCAGGUCCUGCUGGGGAGAUGGGACAGCAUGAAGGAGAGUGACCUGGAAAUGCAAUGAAGUUACUGAGAGCGUGGAGUGCUCUCAUCAUCAGCAAAGCAGGCAGCUUCCUUCGUUCCUACUUCUCAAGCUCUCGGUUGAUGAAAGGACAAGUUUUCUGAAGGGCUGUUUUAAUGGACAAUUCCAAUGGCUGCAUAGAAAAAUCCCUCCAGGCACUGCAUGAGAAAGUCACUUCUGAAGUUGUUUCCAUCUGGCUCUGACAUUUGUUGAGUUACAAGUAUAGUAUUGAUUUCACUAUGGGCAUUUUAAACGUUUUCAGUUUAACAAUAACGGCAGUAAUGCACUUAAAUUCAUUAAGUGGGGAAAUACAGAAAUCAUUAACUUCAGAUAUACAUCUAAAGUGAUUAUUUACUACAGGUUUUGUUUCAAGAUGCAUUAAUCCACCAAGGGCAGGGCCUCCUUGUUACAGCUGAGCCAGGUUUUUGAAACUAGACUGGGUUAUAGUUAACUGGAUCUUGAAACCAUGUGCCACACAAUGAGCAGAACAGAAAUCAGCUGG
This is a long non-coding RNA of Lagopus muta (rock ptarmigan), 1151 nucleotides long. RefSeq lists it as uncharacterized. NCBI's taxonomy places the organism in Eukaryota, Metazoa, Chordata, Aves, Galliformes, Phasianidae. The transcript is spliced from 5 exons. The record is from RefSeq and is a predicted model, not a curated record.